This is a long non-coding RNA of Lates calcarifer (barramundi perch), 4448 nucleotides long. RefSeq lists it as uncharacterized. NCBI's taxonomy places the organism in Eukaryota, Metazoa, Chordata, Actinopteri, Centropomidae. The record is from RefSeq and is a predicted model, not a curated record. The transcript has 3 exons.
GGGCUCUAAGAAGUCCUCCGCUGCCAAGCCUUUGCAGCGGAUGCUUCUGGGAUCACGAGUGUGUCUACCAAGCACAGAGUCGCUGGCGAGGAGCGGGAAAGUUCAUUCUUAAACUGAAAGAGCAGGUGGUGCGAGAGGACAAAAAGAAAGUAAUUUCCUUCGCCAGUGAGCUCAAGAAGUUGACCAGUCGGAGCCGCAGCAUGACGACUGGCAACGGUGUGGACUGUCCUGCCCAGAGUAAGGAUGAUAGAGCUGCAUGCUGUGUGGCUCUGACAGAGCUCCAGGAGUGAGGCUCACACUCUGCCUGCUGUCUGUGCAUGGAAAGGCAACAGAGGGUAUCUGUCUGCAGCUGCAGGUCUGAGGGCGUGGCUGGCAGAGGGCAGGGUGGGGGCAGGACGGUUCCUACGGGCCUCCUCCUCCUCCUCCUCCUCCUCUUCCUCUUCUUCCUCCUUCAAUGGGCCACUCCAACCUGUCCAUCUGCCCACCUCCUCUCUGACCCCCCUCGCCUGGAAGCUUCACCUCCUCAGGAACUGGAAGAUCCACAAAUGAAAUCCAGAGAGGGAGACAUGGCGCUGACUACUUCAGAGGAUCCCCCCGCCUCCCCACCCCUUUGCAAGAGAGGCAAGGUGUUUCAGUGAGGGUCUGGCACAUUGCGGAAUUGUGGGAAACGCUCCUCUCUAAGUCCCAAAGGAGUCCUUCCUGAUCCUUCCUUGAUAGUUGAGCAAGUGGAGGACAGGAUUAAGUCCAAGCCCCUGUUAACGGGUUAGGUGACAGGUGUUCAGCUGCUGUGCUUGGCUGAAUGACAGACAGGAGUUUCUGAUUGGAAAUCCCUCCUAGAGUCACUUGGGAGCAGUGAUGGUCUUGUAGGGAGCCACAGCUCGUCCUGGUUUAUUGUUUGUAGUGAGGCUCCAUAGAGAGUCCACAGUACCAAGGGGCAGCUGCUGUUAUUGAAGUCAUCAGGUACGUGAUCAGGGAUGUAAAAAAAGCAGUAAAGUAUUCCCUCUUUUGCCAAUGAAUGAGAGGAAUUUGUCACAAAAAAAGAGUACUUCCCCGAGUCAUAUUAACAGGUUAAAGAAGUCUGGGUUUGCUUUCAGAUGUGCCAGUAGUUUAUCUCCAAAAAAUCAGGUCUAGAAAAUGGCUUCUAGAUUGAAUGAGAAGUCCUCAAAAAGCUGAUUCAAGGAAAGUCCAAAUAUGGCUCCACAGGAGAUUAAAUGGCCUGUGUACCUGCACAGGCAAUUGGAUGAAUAUAACCUGUAUUUGGUUUAAAGGUUUUAUUUUCAUAGCAACAGAGAGCACAGAUGGAGGGAGAUCUGCUGAGAAAAAAUGGAAAGAAAGAUGUAGGGGAGUGUGAGGGCCAAAGGGGUGGAACAGUAUUCUUCUCUCCUUUUCAGGUAUGGACUCUUUUGGCUGAGGGCAUUGUGAAGGAGGCUGACAAGCUGGCUUGUAUGAUUCUUUUCUUACUGUUCCACUUUCACAGUACUGUAAAGGCUCAUUUUUGGGGCAGUGCAGAUUUACAUAGCUAGCAGGAAGAGGCAACACAGUGAGACAACGUAUUUAGAUGUUUCCAACCCAAUCAGAUAUUUCUGUAAUAGAAGCAGCAAUGCUUCAGACAAUUUCCUUCAAAGUGACAAUAAUUAGCAACAUUUUAAAGCCGUAUAAAUUGGAACAACCUCUUAUCACUGUUGUCCUUUUAUGUUGCCUUAAAAUGUUGCAACACUGCCUUUAACUUUUGGUAACUUUGUAGCUGUAUCUCUGACAGUGAUCUUCAGUGGGUUCCUCAAGGGAUUUUAGUGCCAUCAUCAUUAUCCACAAACAGGCAUCUUAUCUUGCCACCCACGCAAUUAAAUAAAUAAAUGGAUUGAUCUAUACAUUCAAAAAUAUCAAAAUUAUUUAUUUAAAAUGUAUGAAUUAAAUUUAUUUAAUUAUUUCAUAUUCUUGUUGAUUCUUCUUGUUGCUGCCUGUAACUAGGGCUGUGAAGCAUUUUGAAAGUAGUAUUGGCACCAUUUCCAUAAUUAAAAAACUGAUUUAACACUAGCGGCCAUACAAGAGCUCUACCUACAUACAAUACAGUCUAAAAUGGAUUUAAAUCCAAAAUUAUGUAAUUAAAAUUACAAAUCUUCUCUCAUAUUCUACUCCAUGUAGAGGUUCAAUACUUAAGUAUUUCCAUCAGUUUAAUCCCUCAUUUGAAUGGAACAAUGAUGAUUCAAGGCUCAUUUCCCUUUGAGAAACACAGCUUCAUCUUCUGCAAACAGCAUUUUGCACAUUUUAUUUUCCUUUCGCUGUUAUCUUCAGAGUUUUUGUUUUACUAAUUAGUGAUAAAAACAUGAUUGUUGUCACGAGACGGUCAAAUGAUUUUUGUUUUUAUUCUGAUCACAGUAUUUAUUACUAUUAAUUUUGGGCCAGUUGUGAAUUUAUGUCUGAGGAAAGGACAAGAAAUAUUCAGACUGUUUUUUGUAUGUAUGUAAGUAGUCUGAGCGCAAACUUGAAAUUCCUCACACAAAAUUAUUAAUUAAUUAUUAAUCAGAAUGAUUUCCAUUUAAUUUUACUCUGUUGGCCUCAAUUUACUGUCCUUGAUUUUGAUUGCAUUAUCUUCAUAGAUUAUUAGUAUUGAUUGGCUGUCAGUGACAAUGAUUGUAGAGUUUAUUUCUAUUUACAGCUCAUUUCAAUUUUCUUUCAGAAUCUUGUAAAACUUGAUUCAUUUGGGGCCACUUUUCCCCUUCUUCUGUUUUUAUAUGUAACAUUUCCAGAUAAUAAAAAUUUUGAUUUUUUUUUUUUUUUUGUUUUGUUUUUGUUUUUUUUUUUUUUGUUUUUAGAGUUUUUAGAGACUUCUUCCCUAAUUAUUUUUCUGGCAUUUUAGUUCAGUUCCCCCUUGUGUAGUUAUGCUGAUAACACAUGUAAAAUAUACAUUAAAUUGUUCUAAGUCAACUUUUCACAUUUACAGAGCACACCGCUGCUUUUACUUAGCAUGAUAAAGACAUUUUUCUUUAACAUUAACCCUGAGAAAAAACUGUUUUGUGAGUUGUUUAACUGAAGUAGUUCUGAACCCAUCCAGUGCUGGGUUAAGAAUAUAUUAUGCUGUUACUGUUAAGUCAGUUUGCCUUUUUUUAACCCACAUUCCAACAAUAUUUGACAGAAAUUAUGCAUUCAUAGCAGCUUUUUAAACCCCACAAACAUUAAACAGUUUCUGUAAAAAAAAUAAGGAAAGUACUAUUUUAUUCAAAAUGUUGGCCUUUUAUUUUAUAGACAGUUUUCGCAAAUUUGGCCUCACCCCACGAAAAGAAUCUGACUUUCUGUCCUUUUGCUUUCAUUUCUCGUUAAGUAAAACUUUGCUCAGUGGCAAGUAAUGUUUGAAUUUUAGUGCAAUAGUGAAGUUCUGUCACUUCAAACUCUAGGUUUUAUUGUCUAGAAAUUACUGACGUUUUAACUCUAAUUCCUUAUUCCUGACCUUAACUCGUUCUUUAAAUGAGUCAAAAUUGACAUAAUUCACGCACAAAGAUGAUCUUUUGUUAGUCGUAAGGCAACAGGACGAUCCCUAAACCAAACUGUAAUUAAGGUAGAUUAGAUUGUGAUCCCAGAAACCACAGCUCUGUUAAUGUUAAUUAAGAUUUUUGGUAUUACAGAUGAAAUGUGCAGAAAUGUCAUUAUGCACAGCAAGAACAUCACAUUUUAGAAACUGGUGAUUACUUACAACUACCGUGCUGGAUAACCAUGAUAUUAACUGAAGUCCAUACAGACUUUUAACAGGAAGGGACAGUAUCUGUUGAAUUGUACAUUUAUGAUCCCUCUGCUUCAUCACAUCAUCACAUUUUGUUUUCCUUCUUUCUAACCUGUAGACCUCAUUUCUGAAUGUAACAUUUCUUAAUGUGUUGAACCUGAGACAAAUGUGUGUUUGGAUGUUAUUUAUUUUAAUGUGAAGCCCUGGUUGGCAUGUAUCUGUUGUUGUUGUUUAUGUAUAAUUUCCUGUAAGUAGUUUUAAGUGUUUUUUAAUUUAUUUCAAUAGGAGAGGAUAAACUCUCUACUGCCCUAACUUUACUCAAUCGUAUUUAGAUUUGUAAAGAAAUAUUUUACUUUAUGUGUAAAAUAUUCAGUAUAGUAUUCAUAUUUCUGGCAUGUUAUUCUGCAGUACACAGCAGCAUCUUUUAAUGCCUUUUAUUUUGUGGACUAUGUGAACAAAAGCUGGCAUUUUUUUUCUUUUUUUUUUUUGAUGAUUUUGGUGUAUUUGUUAUAUCCACUGAAUAUGACGUAUGUGUUUGCUGACUGUGGGCUAUGUUUCAUCUUUAGCACUCUGUUGUUUCCAUAAGAUGUGCAGUAUACCCUUUAACAUCCACUAUCCCUGUUAUGAUGUGGCUGUCAAGUGAACAUUUGUCUAUUUACUUGAAUUUUUAAAUGGAUGAUAAAUUGGUGGAUUUGUUAUAUACCAGGAUCACAAUAAAACUACAAAUACUUAA